RNAcentral lists this ribosomal RNA (845 nucleotides) under uncultured archaeon. RNAcentral's name for it is "bacterial SSU rRNA". It matches the Rfam family "Archaeal small subunit ribosomal RNA", at positions 5 to 851 of the family's 1478-position model. The record is from RNAcentral.
CGGUUGAUCCUGCCGGAGGCCAUUGCUAUCGGAGUCCGAUUUAGCCAUGCUAGUCGCACGAGUUUAGACUCGUGGCAUAUAGCUCAGUAACACGUGGCCAAACUACCCUACAGACCGCAAUAACCUCGGGAAACUGAGGCCAAUAGCGGAUAUAACUCUCAGACUGGAGUGUCGAGAGUUAGAAACGUUCCGGCGCUGUAGGAUGUGGCUGCGGCCGAUUAGGUAGAUGGUGGGGUAACGGCCCACCAUGCCGAUAAUCGGUACAGGUUGUGAGAGCAAGAGCCUGGAGACGGUAUCUGAGACAAGAUACCGGGCCCUACGGGGCGCAGCAGGCGCGAAACCUUUACACUGCACGACAGUGCGAUAGGGGGACUCCGAGUGUGAGGGCAUAUAGCCCUCGCUUUUCUGCACCGUAAGGUGGUGCAAGAACAAGGACUGGGCAAGACCGGUGCCAGCCGCCGCGGUAAUACCGGCAGUCCAAGUGAUGGCCGAUAUUAUUGGGCCUAAAGCGUCCGUAGCUUGCUGUGUAAGUCCAUUGGGAAAUCGACCAGCUCAACUGGUCGACGUCCGGUGGAAACUACACAGCUUGGGGCCGAGAGACUCAACGGGUACGUCCGGGGUAGGAGUGAAAUCCUAUAAUCCUGGACGGACCACCAAUGGGGAAACCACGUUGAGAGACCGGACCCGACAGUGAGGGACGAAAGCCAGGGUCUCGAACCGGAUUANAUACCCGGGUAGUCCUGGNCGUAAACAAUGNUCGCUAGGUAUGUCACGCGCCAUGAGCACGUGAUGUGCCGUAGUGAANANNAUAAGCGAGCCNNCUGGGGAGUACGUCCGCAAGGAUG